CCCUCGAUAGCUCAGUUGGAAGAGCGUGAGACUGUAAUGGGAAAAUACCUUCGCUGGUGCGGCGAUCUCAAGGUCACUGGUUCGAUCCCGGUUCGAGGGA
Molecule: non-coding RNA, 100 nt
Organism: Steccherinum ochraceum
Lineage: Eukaryota; Fungi; Basidiomycota; Agaricomycetes; Polyporales; Steccherinaceae
Source: the annotation of a GenBank genome assembly